CUCAAUAACACUCGGCACUACCACAGGGGGCGCGACAUGCUCGACACCCGCCUGGGCCGCCGCCGCCUGCUGGCGCUCCAAGGUCUCCUGGAGCCGCUGAAUCUGUUCCCCUUGGCGUUGAACAGACUCCGCUUGCUGCCGCACUACUCCAAUAAGCGCGGCCAUUUGUUCCCUAAGCUCUCCGUCGCCACUUGCUCCGGAUUGCUCGGGCUCUGCAUUCGUUUCCUCC
This 229-nucleotide long non-coding RNA is filed under the name Ananas comosus (pineapple). RNAcentral describes it as "long non-coding RNA (ACOM_LNC043858)". Lineage: Eukaryota; Viridiplantae; Streptophyta; Magnoliopsida; Poales; Bromeliaceae. The record is from RNAcentral.